CGCGGCCGCCGCCGCCAACCAGAGGGCGGCGGGGGCGGAACAGGCCGCGCGCCAGGCCCGGCCAAUCCAGCCCUCUACAAGUGCGCCGAGGAGCGGCCGCGGAAAUGGCCGGGCGAUUGGUCAGAAGCUGAAGCUCAUGGAGGAUUGGUAAUGUGUCCAAGAUCACAAGACUAGCUCAAGAGAGAGCCGCAUUCAUGACCUCCUACCUGCCUGCUCCAGUGCCUGCCUAAAUGCCCAUCCUUGCUGCCGGAAACAGGAUGGCUAACUUCAAAAGGCAAAAGAAGCAAAUAUCACUGAUCUUCACCAAAAGACAGCUCAAUAUAGCAGCACUGCCUUGGAGUUUAAGUUCCAUUGCUCUAACUUACCACCUGCUUGAUCUUGAACAAGACAUAUCAUUAAAUCCCUCUGAGCCUCUGAGUGCUUGUCUAUAAAAUGGGAUAAUAACAAAUUCUGCCUCCUGGGGCUGGCAUGAAAACCGAAUCAAAUAAAUAUACAUAAAUACAUA
Orcinus orca (killer whale) is the source of this 505-nucleotide long non-coding RNA. RefSeq lists it as uncharacterized. Lineage: Eukaryota; Metazoa; Chordata; Mammalia; Artiodactyla; Delphinidae. The transcript is spliced from 2 exons. The record is from RefSeq and is a predicted model, not a curated record.